CCUACGGGUGGCAGCAGUCGAGAAUUUUUCACAAUGGGGGAAACCCUGAUGGAGCGACGCCGCGUGGGGGAUGAAUGGCUUCGGCCCGUAAACCCCUGUCAUUUGGGAACAAGGGUUGCAUCCUAACACGAUGCAGCUUGAUAGUACUGGAAGAGGAAGGGACGGCUAACUCUGUGCCAGCAGCCGCGGUAAUACAGAGGUCCCGAGCGUUGUUCGGAUUCACUGGGCGUAAAGGGUGCGUAGGUGGUGGGGUAAGUUUGAGGUGAAAGCUCCGGGCUCAACCCGGAAAUUGCCUUGAAUACUAUCCCGCUAGAGGAUCGGAGGGGAGACUGGAAUUCUCGGUGUAGCAGUGAAAUGCGUAGAUAUCGAGAGGAACACCAGUGGCGAAGGCGAGUCUCUGGACGAUACCUGACACUGAGGCACGAAAGCCAGGGGAGCAAACGGGAUUAGAUACCCCAGUAGUC
Molecule: ribosomal RNA, 464 nt
Filed under: uncultured bacterium
Lineage: Bacteria
Description: bacterial SSU rRNA
Rfam family: Bacterial small subunit ribosomal RNA
Source: RNAcentral